RNAcentral lists this ribosomal RNA (436 nucleotides) under uncultured bacterium. RNAcentral describes it as "partial 16S ribosomal RNA". It matches the Rfam family "Bacterial small subunit ribosomal RNA", at positions 29 to 506 of the family's 1533-position model. The record is from RNAcentral.
AGCGAACGCUGGCGGCAGGCUUAACACAUGCAAGUCGAGCGGGCACCUUUCGGGGUGUCCGCGGCGGACGGGUGAGUAACGCGUGGGAACGUGCCCUCUGGUUCGGAAUAACUCAGGGAAACUUGAGCUAAUACCGGAUACGCCCUUUUGGGGAAAGGCUUGCUGCCGGAGGAUCGGCCCGCGUCUGAUUAGCUAGUUGGUGAGGUAACGGCUCACCAAGGCGACGAUCAGUAGCUGGUCUGAGAGGAUGAUCAGCCACACUGGGACUGAGGCACGGCCCAGACUCCUACGGGAGGCAGCAGUGGGGAAUAUUGGACAAUGGGCGCAAGCCUGAUCCAGCCAUGCCGCGUGAGUGAUGAAGGCCUUAGGGUUGUAAAGCUCUUUUAUCCGGGACGAUAAUGACGGUACCGGAGGAAUAAGCCCCGGCUAACUUCGU